This 253-nucleotide ribosomal RNA is filed under the name uncultured bacterium. RNAcentral describes it as "partial 16S ribosomal RNA". It matches the Rfam family "Bacterial small subunit ribosomal RNA", at positions 524 to 776 of the family's 1533-position model. The record is from RNAcentral.
GACAUAGGUGGCGAGCGUUAUUCGGAAUUACUAGGCGUAAAGCGAGUGUAGGCGGACUCUUAAGUCUGACGUUAAAUCUCUCGGCUUAACUGAGAGCUGUCGUCGGAUACUGAGAGCCUCGAAUGGAGUAGGGGGCAGGGGGAUUCCCGGUGUAGCGGUGAAAUGCGUAGAUAUCGGGAGGAACACCUAUGGCGAAAGCACCUGCCUGGGCUUCUAUUGACGCUAAGACUCGAAAGCUGGGGGAGCAAACAGG